Molecule: ribosomal RNA, 254 nt
Filed under: uncultured bacterium
Lineage: Bacteria
Description: partial 16S ribosomal RNA
Rfam family: Bacterial small subunit ribosomal RNA
Source: RNAcentral
UACGGAGGGGGCUAGCGUUGUUCGGAAUUACUGGGCGUAAAGCGCGCGUAGGCGGACCUGCAAGUCGGGGGUGAAAGCCCGAGGCUCAACCUCGGAACUGCCUUCGAUACUGCGGGUCUCGAGUCCGGGAGAGGUGAGUGGAAUUCCUAGUGUAGAGGUGAAAUUCGUAGAUAUUAGGAAGAACACCAGUGGCGAAGGCGGCUGCCACUGGCCGGUACUGACGCUGAGGCGCGAAAGCGUGGGGAGCAAACAGG